AACAAACAUCAUUUAAAUAAGCUAAAGCCGAGUAAAAGGAGACAAUUAAAAUAUCCCAUCAUUUUAAGUAUUUUACAAUUUGAAAAUUCAUCCCAACCCAUGCAAACGGUUGUAUUUCAUUUAAUUUCUCAUUAGGGCUUAUGACUUUCAUAAACAGUUAGCUCAUGCCAUCAAAUAUACUCGAUGACACCUUGAUCAGAGGCGUACACUCGAGCCCACCAAGGCUAUUAAAAAUUUCGUAUACACGUAAAAUAUAUUUUUAGUUUGAGAAAACAUAGCCAUUUCCUUGGAGUUGGCUGAGUUUCCCUUCACGUGGUGGUUUAGCGUGAAGUGAACCCUAAGCUUUACCCCAAGAGAUACCCUACGCACCUCUCCGUUCGAGGUAAGAAUAUAAUGGGGUUUACCGUGCCCCUCUAAAAGGCUGGUCCACAGAAACCCCCUACUGCAGUGAUUAAUUAAUAUAUAAUCCACCAAUCAAUAAAAUUCAUUCUAGCAUGACAUGACAAUUAUUAUAAUUCACAGCCUUUCAAGGCUAAAUACACAUUUCAUAUAUUUCAACAC
RNAcentral lists this long non-coding RNA (561 nucleotides) under Theobroma cacao (cacao). RNAcentral describes it as "long non-coding RNA (TCAC_LNC000957)". Lineage: Eukaryota; Viridiplantae; Streptophyta; Magnoliopsida; Malvales; Malvaceae. The record is from RNAcentral.